Molecule: ribosomal RNA, 253 nt
Filed under: uncultured bacterium
Lineage: Bacteria
Description: partial 16S ribosomal RNA
Rfam family: Bacterial small subunit ribosomal RNA
Source: RNAcentral
UACGUAGGUGACAAGCGUUGUCCGGAUUUACUGGGCGUAAAGAGCGCGCAGGCGGUCGAUCAAGUCGAGUGUGAAAGCCCCCGGCUCAACUGGGGAGGGUCAUUCGAUACUGAUCGACUCGAAGGCAGGAGAGGGUAGUGGAAUUCCCGGUGUAGUGGUGAAAUGCGUAGAUAUCGGGAGGAACACCUGCGGUGUAGACGGCUUACUGGACCAUAACUGACGCUGAGGCACGAAAGCGUGGGUAGCAAACAGG